UAAGACAAAGUGGUGUUAGCUUCUAAUU
This 28-nucleotide non-coding RNA is filed under the name Bombyx mori (domestic silkworm). The record is from RNAcentral. Lineage: Eukaryota; Metazoa; Arthropoda; Insecta; Lepidoptera; Bombycidae.